This 207-nucleotide ribosomal RNA is filed under the name uncultured bacterium. RNAcentral's name for it is "partial 16S ribosomal RNA". It matches the Rfam family "Bacterial small subunit ribosomal RNA", at positions 568 to 774 of the family's 1533-position model. The record is from RNAcentral.
CGCGCAGGCGGCCAAGUAUGUCGGAUGUGAAAGCCCUCGGCUCAACCGAGGAAUUGCGUUCGAAACUGCUUGGCUUGAGUACGGGAGAGGGAAGUGGAAUUCCGGGUGUAGAGGUGAAAUUCGUAGAUAUCCGGAGGAACACCAGAGGCGAAGGCGACUUCCUGGACCGACACUGACGCUGAGGCGCGAAAGCGUGGGGAGCAAACA